AUGGCGGCGGCAGAAGCGAGAGCUGCUUGGCAACGGGCCGCAAACCGCUGCUUAUUUCAGGAGGAUGCAAAGAGAGCUCCAAAACUGGCCUGCUGUCCACCGACAAUGCAACAGCAUGAAGCAAACAGCGGGAACCCCACCAGUCCGCGAGACUGCCACAUCCCGAAUUUCAUGCAUUUGAACUGGAACCCGAUGAACUCCAAUCAGCCAAUAGAUGCCUGGUUUCUUCAGCUGCAGCCCAAUUUCGGGUGCCACAAGGUGCUUUCUGGCGAGCAUCUGAAUUACAUGGGCGGAGAAGCCAAUGCCAAGAAAGUGGACAGUUUCUCGCCUGUCUCUACUCUUGACGACAUCAACACGAAGAAGAGCGAGUGCCCUUCUGAGCCACCGUGGAUGAUUUCGACGGCUUUUAUGAAGCAAACAUCUGAAGCACCUUGCGAAGGGUGCCCUCAAACGAGUCUCAAGUGCAGAGGAAAUUCCAAUAACUUCCUUCACGAGGAUAAAGAGGUUAUGGACUUCAAAACUUUUGAUCCUUUGUUUCCGAAGAAACCGAAGAAGGCAUGCUAUGAGAUGGAUCCACCUUGGGAACAAGACAGGAAGUCUCAGCCCUGGUGGCAAGUAGCUGACGAGGAAGGAUUGGCUUCGCUUGUUGCAGAAAGAGCAAUGCAGCACAUUGAGAACAAUGAUCUGCCAAAACCCACUCAGAUAGUGCGUAUUCAUGGGGCAAAAUUGAACGGCCAUGAAAACAAGGAUGGCUGUGGGAAUUCAUCUUCUUCUUCUGGUAAAGAGUCGCAGCCUCAACUUCACGACACUAUGAUGUGCAGCUAUAGCCUCUCAAGCACCAAUGAGAUGAAUUCAUCUGACGGUGGAGGCUGGCAACAGACUCGCAAAAAUGAUGCGCAUGGUAUAUUGUUAUUAUGUUAUUCCUGGAAAUACCUCAGGGGCACGCAGGAUUCAUAUAGUAGUGGUGAUCAUACACCAGGCAGCAAGCCCACAUAUCAGAAUCAGAAAGACGCCGAGAGGGCCCAGCUACUGGACGCUCUUCGCCAUUCGCAGACACGGGCUAGGGAAGCCGAGGUGGCUGCCAAGAAUGCUCAUGAUGAGAAAGACCAUGUCGUCAAGCUACUGUUUCGUCAGGCCUCGCACCUCUUUGCGUGUAAGCAGUGGCUGAAAAUGCUGCAGCUGGAGAACAUAUGCCUCCAGCUCAGGCUGAAAGAGCAUCAGAUAGCAGCCAUGUUCCCGGAGCUUCCCUGGACGGUGAUGAAGGAUGAGAAGGCCGAGCCAGAAGGGGAGCGAAAAGGCAGGGCAAAGAAGAAAGGCAGGAGGCAGAACAAGGAAGGUGGCUUCUGCAAGGCCAUCAUGUUUGCAGUUGGCGUAGGCAUCGUCGGCGCGGGAUUGCUCCUUGGCUGGACCUUUGGGUGGCUGCUGCCCAGGUUGUAA
This 1437-nucleotide ribosomal RNA is filed under the name Triticum aestivum (bread wheat). Its description in RNAcentral is "partial small subunit ribosomal RNA". Lineage: Eukaryota; Viridiplantae; Streptophyta; Magnoliopsida; Poales; Poaceae. The record is from RNAcentral.